This 385-nucleotide ribosomal RNA is filed under the name uncultured bacterium. Its description in RNAcentral is "bacterial SSU rRNA". It matches the Rfam family "Bacterial small subunit ribosomal RNA", at positions 30 to 417 of the family's 1533-position model. The record is from RNAcentral.
AUUGAACGCUGGCGGCAUGCCUUACACAUGCAAGUCGAACGGCAGCACGGGGCAACCUGGUGGCGAGUGGCGAACGGGUGAGUAAUGCAUCGGAACGUGCCAUUGAGUGGGGGAUAACGUAGCGAAAGUUGCGCUAAUACCGCAUAUUCUGUGAGCAGGAAAGCAGGGGACCGCAAGGCCUUGCGCUCUUUGAGCGGCCGAUGUCAGAUUAGCUAGUUGGUGAGGUAACGGCUUACCAAGGCGACGAUCUGUAGCGGGUCUGAGAGGAUGAUCCGCCACACUGGAACUGAGACACGGUCCAGACUCCUACGGGAGGCAGCAGUGGGGAAUUUUGGACAAUGGGCGCAGGCCUGAUCCAGCCAUGCCGCGUGAGUGAAGAAGGCCU